AUGAUUCCGUGAACGGAUUUCGAGUCACCACUGAGAGGGCCUCCUUCCAGGACUAAUCUUUAGCCGGCGGGCUCCAACUUCCCAGCCUGAACUUCAUCAGUAGUCAAGCAAGAAACAAACAUCUGUGGAGAAGAGCUGGCAUUGUUCGAUUCUGCAAAAAGGCUGUGAGGUGCUCCUAGGGAAAUAUGUCAAAAUAAGCAUACACUCCUUUUGUUUAACUCACAACAUACACACAAACCAGCUAUUGUGAUUCAACUCUAUGAGUAGAACAUUCCAUCCUCAAGAAAUGUGAAUUGAAGUGCAAGGUAAAAAUCCCAUAUAUACUCACUGGAUGAUAAUACUCUAGCUCUUCAGGGCUGCUUUCUCACCCCUCCCCACCCUCACUGCU
This is a long non-coding RNA of Galeopterus variegatus (Sunda flying lemur), 388 nucleotides long. RefSeq lists it as uncharacterized. The transcript has 3 exons. The record is from RefSeq and is a predicted model, not a curated record. NCBI's taxonomy places the organism in Eukaryota, Metazoa, Chordata, Mammalia, Dermoptera, Cynocephalidae.